GACGAACGCUGGCGGCGUGCUUAACACAUGCAAGUCGAACGGAAAGGCCCUGCUUUUGUGGGGUGCUCGAGUGGCGAACGGGUGAGUAACACGUGAGUAACCUGCCCUUGACUUUGGGAUAACUUCAGGAAACUGGGGCUAAUACCGGAUAGGAGCUCCUGCUGCAUGGUGGGGGUUGGAAAGUUUCGGCGGUUGGGGAUGGACUCGCGGCUUAUCAGCUUGUUGGUGGGGUAGUGGCUUACCAAGGCUUUGACGGGUAGCCGGCCUGAGAGGGUGACCGGCCACAUUGGGACUGAGAUACGGCCCAGACUCCUACGGGAGGAAGCAGUGGGGAAUAUUGCAGAAUGGGCGGAAGCCUGAUGCAGCAACGCCGCGUGCGGGAUGACGGCCUUCGGGUUGUAAACCGCUUUCGCCUGUGACGAAGCGUGAGUGACGGUAAUGGGUAAAGAAGCACCGGCUAACUACGUG
RNAcentral lists this ribosomal RNA (468 nucleotides) under uncultured bacterium. RNAcentral describes it as "partial 16S ribosomal RNA". It matches the Rfam family "Bacterial small subunit ribosomal RNA", at positions 28 to 507 of the family's 1533-position model. The record is from RNAcentral.